UGGGUUUGUCCUAAGCUAAACUUCUUCACGUUUGACAAACUUUAUAGAAAAGUUCAGCAGCAUUUCCAACACAAAACAAAUAUAAUACGAAACUAUAUUCAAUGGUGAACUUAACGAAACUAAUUUUAUGCUGUAGAUGUCACUAUGUUUUUCUAUAAACUUGGUCAAACUUGAAGGAGUUUGACUUAGGACAAACCCGA
This 200-nucleotide microRNA precursor is filed under the name Oryza punctata. RNAcentral's name for it is "MIR1435 microRNA precursor family". It matches the Rfam family "MIR1435 microRNA precursor family". The record is from Rfam by way of RNAcentral. Lineage: Eukaryota; Viridiplantae; Streptophyta; Magnoliopsida; Poales; Poaceae.